This 2392-nucleotide long non-coding RNA is filed under the name Venturia canescens. RNAcentral describes it as "uncharacterized LOC122409561, transcript variant X4". Lineage: Eukaryota; Metazoa; Arthropoda; Insecta; Hymenoptera; Ichneumonidae. The record is from RNAcentral.
UCCCACAUAUAUACGUGUAAAUUCGUUAUAAAGUGUUGAGUCGACUAAACCACCCAUAGGUAAAAGUCACUCAAUAUACCACUAUCACUCAAUACCACUCGUUGAUUUGGAGGAGCGUCUUCCGCUCCAAGUUUUCUCUUUGAAUUUCUAGUACACAUUAUUCUACUAUAAACAUGAGCGCCGAUUUGUCAUGUUAGAGCUUCUACAACAGAGAAAAAAUUACCAAAACAAGUUUAAACAAUUUGGGAAUAACGCGACUUACCGACGAAGCUUCAGAUCGUAGCGUCGUUUCUCAGUGGGAAAAGAUAUACCGAAAAAUAUAAUAAUCCCUCAGAAUCGGUAUGCGACGUAACCGCAACGAAUGGUUGAAUUCUAUCCGAUUCAUUGUGGAAAGCGACAUUAUCAAAAAACGUCCAAUCCGGAAUACGAAAUAAUUGGAAGACAAGAAUAAAAAGAAUUACAAAAAAACUUGUCUAUAUUUCAAUCUUGACGAAUCUUGAAUACAAUGAGACAACUUUGUGUGUUACACGCUUAUUUUAAAAUUGUUUACAACUAUUAUAUAUUUACAUCAAUGACAAAAUUAUACACAAUGUUGUAGAUGUGUCUGUUUUGCAGAGGAGUGAUAAACGUUCUCUACAAUAAUAAAUCUAAAUGAUCUCACGACUGUACAAAUUCACCACUUCGAAAUAUAAAAAUUGAGCAAUUCAUACUAAUAUGUAAAGAAAAAAAAACUGAUGAUUUCAUGACGCAGAGGUUUUUAGUUGAAAAUUCGGAAGAACUGAUAUAAAAAGAUAAUCGCAGCAAUAGAGGAAAAAUGUAUAAUUUACAUCGCCAAUGAACAACAGCUCUUGAAUUGAUAUGUAACCGGACUGUUUUUUUGGGUGUUUUCUUUAAAAUCUUCGCAAUAGAUUCGAAGACUUUCAUUAAAAGAAUGGACUAGAAACGUAUGUAACCUUUUUCGAAUGUUUUUCCUUAUAUAAACUUCCUCUCAAAUAUCUUACACGUUCAAGGACAUCGGUUGAUCCGGAAUCGUUCAAUGAAACAAGAGUUGAAAGAGGAAUGACGAACCUUCGAAAAUUUGGGUAAACCACACGUUAGUUUGUACCGAUGAUUUGAAUUUUAUUGUUAUACUUUGAAACAUAAAUAUCGACGGAUUCAUGAAACAGACAUUUAAAAAAAAUAACGCUUUGAUUUUAGCGCCAAUUUUACGAUUACCUCAUUCAGUAAAUGAUAAUGAGAAAAGAGGGAGUGAAGACAGGGGAAAACUAUAUAUUGAUAAUCGUCAAUCCGGACGUAAUCAUGGGUACGAAAAUAAAUUAAUAUUUGUUUAAUAUCUUUCAGGAAGAAACGAAUUUCCGUAGCACUUGUUGAGGAGACAACCCGCGGCAUAUGGCUCCAUUUCGUGAUGUGCACUAAUUUAAUGAUUUCUCCAACGGACGAUGAAUUUUAAGGCCUGUACGAAAUAUGGGACUGAGAAUGGGCAACAAAAUUAUCGAAUCCUUCCAUAAUUCGAUUGUCACCAUUCGGUGGACAACAUUAUUAUGUACAAACUUGGAUGAUGAUGUUUUUCGCAAUGAAAAUUCAUGAUCCCAGUAAGGAAAAUAAGAAAGAAAAAAUGAGGCUAUCAGUCUAUCGAUCCUCGCCACGUGUUUAGAAUGCAAAAUCCGGGACGGGCACUCCGAAGUUGAAAGAGACCAUUUUUUGUUCAACAUUUUUACAGAUUUCAUUGUUACAAUGAUAUAUUUCCUGGCUGACUGUACUGUCCGAGUCUGGAAUGCUUAUCGACUGCUCUCACCGCGAAAUAGUAGUUGUUGCCUUCUGAAAACUACAAAAUAAUAUUCUUGUUUAUCACAAAAGAUUUAUCAUAUGUUUUCAAGGAUUUUCAAACACAAAAUGAUAAAAAAAAAAAUUGAGCUUCCGACGGUAUAUCAUUGUUCUCAUCAUUCCCGAACAAUCAAUCGCAGAGAAAAAUUGCCAAGCAUAAGGGUCGAUUUAGUGACCCUAUCAACUUAAAAUUUGAUAUGUUUCUAAAUCAGAUAUCAAAGAUUAAAACCAUUAAUUAUAUGAAUUGAAUCGCAGGAAUUGUAACCAUACUUUAAAAUAGGGUGAUCAACGCCCAUCUGAAUUAAAAAUAUUGAGUUGAAGAAGCUGUAUUUGUGGGGCUAUCGUGAUCUCUGAUCUAAGCUGUUGAUUAAUUACGUGCAUCUUCGUCAAACGUUAACUUUUUGCAAUGUACUACCAAAUCAUGUAAAAGACUCUAAAUGAAAUAUUUUCUGUAAUCAUCUUGAACAUUAUUUACUAUUGAAAAAAAUGAUGACUUUUUUAUUGAUACUGUGCUAUGUAUGAAUAACCGUGGUAUUUGUUUUAAAAAAAUAUAGUGAAAGACUGUUGA